AACACACGACUGUCUUCUUCCUCCCACUUCGAAUUUCACUCAAACCCACAAUAUUUCUCUAUUGCGUGAAAUACCCAAAUUUCGAUUUCACUCAUAUCUCGCCGCUGCUGCGCCACCAAUAUCCCGCAGGCCGCUGCUGCGCCGUCGUCUCUGUUUUGCAUUUUUUGGGGAAUUUGAAUUUUGGCCUAACCGCUCACAGCCCCCCCCCCCGGCGUGCAGUUCAAUCCGUUCCCUCCGCCGUUCAAACUUUGAAUUCGCCGUUCAAUCCGCUCACAGACCCUCAAUCCGCCGACGAUGUCCAGUUCAAGCUCGUUCGCCGAUUGAAACAAUUAAAGUGUUUCAAGUCCUCCGCUGCCUCCGACGAUUGAAACAAUUAAAUAGGACGCCGUCGGAUUUGGUCACCCACACCGCUGCCAAGCCCUCUGCCGCCGCCGUCGGAUUCCGCCGCUGCCAAGCUCUCUUCCGCCGCCGCCAAACUCGUGGGCUAAGAGCUGGACAAGUAGGAGCAAAGAAGGGGAUAAGUUUUGUUGAGGUUCCUUUGGCUGUUAUUCGUGGCUGACAAACAUGGUUUUCGUACCUCAAUAUCGCAUGAAUUGUUGUCAUUUUCCCCCAUGAAUUGAUUGCUAAUAUGUGUUUGUAUCCCAAUUUUGAGUUUUGUUGAGUUUUAAUUCCUUGGUGUAGUUUUGGAGUGAUUUCAGGGAAAAUCAAGAAUUAAUUGGAGGAUUUUGAAGACAUGAGAUCGAAGUACGUCUCGAGAGGAAUCCGUGAGCGCAAACGGCGACCAAAUCCGAGUCCGGACGAGGGAGAACGGAGCAAAACGAGCGGACUGUGCAAAACGCCCAGUACCCCGCGGUCACCACCCGCGGCCGCGGGGUAAGACCGCGGGUCAGCUGUUCCCGACUCAGGAGACACCCGCGGUCACCACCCGCGGCCGCGGGGCGGGACCGCGGGUCCCCUGAGCAUCCCCCACGUUUGAAGGCCGCGGACGCGGGCCGUGACCGCGGGAAAAGGGCGGGGCUCCCCCAAAUGGACCCCAAACGCGAUUUUAGCCUCAAAACUCCAUUUUUCUCUUCUUUUCCCCAUUCAUUCACCACACACACCCAAUUCAUCUUCCCCAACCUCAUACUCACCCAUUUUCCAUCUUCCCCAAUUCAUUCACACCAAACCCUAGCCUCCAUUACCACAUCUUUUUACCAAGAUUGAAGGCAUUGAAGAGGAGAGAAGAUUGAAGAAAGCUCA
Salvia miltiorrhiza (redroot sage) is the source of this 1239-nucleotide long non-coding RNA. RefSeq lists it as uncharacterized. NCBI's taxonomy places the organism in Eukaryota, Viridiplantae, Streptophyta, Magnoliopsida, Lamiales, Lamiaceae. The transcript is spliced from 3 exons. The record is from RefSeq and is a predicted model, not a curated record.